RNAcentral lists this ribosomal RNA (403 nucleotides) under Francisella tularensis subsp. holarctica. RNAcentral's name for it is "bacterial SSU rRNA". It matches the Rfam family "Bacterial small subunit ribosomal RNA", at positions 1 to 409 of the family's 1533-position model. Lineage: Bacteria; Pseudomonadati; Pseudomonadota; Gammaproteobacteria; Thiotrichales; Francisellaceae. The record is from RNAcentral.
AUUAAACUGAAGAGUUUGAUCCUGGCUCAGAUUGAACGCUGGUGGCAUGCUUAACACAUGCAAGUCGAACGGUAACAGGUCUUAGGAUGCUGACGAGUGGCGGACGGGUGAGUAACGCGUAGGAAUCUGCCCAUUUGAGGGGGAUACCAGUUGGAAACGACUGUUAAUACCGCAUAAUAUCUGUGGAUUAAAGGUGGCUUUCGGGCUGUCGCAGAUGGAUGAGCCUGCGUUGGAUUAGCUAGUUGGUGGGGUAAGGGCCCACCAAGGCUACGAUCCAUAGCUGAUUUGAGAGGAUGAUCAGCCACAUUGGGACUGAGACACGGCCCAAACUCCUACGGGAGGCAGCAGUGGGGAAUAUUGGACAAUGGGGGCAACCCUGAUCCAGCAAUGCCAUGUGUGUGAA